GACGAACGCUGGCGGCGUGCUUAACACAUGCAAGUCGAACGGAAAGGCCCUGCUCUUGUGGGGUGCUCGAGUGGCGAACGGGUGAGUAACACGUGAGUAACCUGCCCUUGACUUUGGGAUAACUUCAGGAAACUGGGGCUAAUACCGGAUAGGAUCUCCUGCUGCAUGUUGGGGGUUGGAAAGUUUCGGCGGUUGGGGAUGGACUCGCGGCUUAUCAGCUUGUUGGUGGGGUAGUGGCUUACCAAGGCUUUGACGGGUAGCCGGCCUGAGAGGGUGACCGGCCACAUUGGGACUGAGAUACGGCCCAGACUCCUACGGGAGGCAGCAGUGGGGAAUAUUGCACAAUGGGCGGAAGCCUGAUGCAGCAACGCCGCGUGCGGGAUGACGGCCUUCGGGUUGUAAACCGCUUUCGCCUGUGACGAAGCGUGAGUGACGGUAAUGGGUAAAGAAGCACCGGCUAACUACGUG
RNAcentral lists this ribosomal RNA (468 nucleotides) under uncultured bacterium. RNAcentral's name for it is "partial 16S ribosomal RNA". It matches the Rfam family "Bacterial small subunit ribosomal RNA", at positions 28 to 507 of the family's 1533-position model. The record is from RNAcentral.